Cavia porcellus (domestic guinea pig) is the source of this 86-nucleotide microRNA precursor. NCBI's taxonomy places the organism in Eukaryota, Metazoa, Chordata, Mammalia, Rodentia, Caviidae. The record is from Ensembl.
CCUGGCAUAUAGCAGGUCCUCAAUAAGUAUUUGUUGAAAAAAUAAAUGAAUCAACAAGUCUUAUUUGAGCACCUGUUAUGUGUAGG